RNAcentral lists this ribosomal RNA (824 nucleotides) under Alteromonadales bacterium HOT2D7. RNAcentral describes it as "bacterial SSU rRNA". It matches the Rfam family "Bacterial small subunit ribosomal RNA", at positions 93 to 919 of the family's 1533-position model. The record is from RNAcentral. Lineage: Bacteria; Pseudomonadati; Pseudomonadota; Gammaproteobacteria; Alteromonadales.
GAGUGGCGGACGGGUGAGUAAUGCUUGGGAACUUGCCUUUGCGAGGGGGAUAACAGUUGGAAACGACUGCUAAUACCGCAUAAUGUCUUCGGACCAAACGGGGCUUCGGCUCCGGCGCAAAGAGAGGCCCAAGUGAGAUUAGCUAGUUGGUAAGGUAACGGCUUACCAAGGCGACGAUCUCUAGCUGUUCUGAGAGGAAGAUCAGCCACACUGGGACUGAGACACGGCCCAGACUCCUACGGGAGGCAGCAGUGGGGAAUAUUGCACAAUGGGGGAAACCCUGAUGCAGCCAUGCCGCGUGUGUGAAGAAGGCCUUCGGGUUGUAAAGCACUUUCAGUUGUGAGGAAAAGUUAGUAGUUAAUACCUGCUAGCCGUGACGUUAACAACAGAAGAAGCACCGGCUAACUCCGUGCCAGCAGCCGCGGUAAUACGGAGGGUGCGAGCGUUAAUCGGAAUUACUGGGCGUAAAGCGCACGCAGGCGGUUUGUUAAGCUAGAUGUGAAAGCCCCGGGCUCAACCUGGGAUGGUCAUUUAGAACUGGCAGACUAGAGUCUUGGAGAGGGGAGUGGAAUUCCAGGUGUAGCGGUGAAAUGCGUAGAUAUCUGGAGGAACAUCAGUGGCGAAGGCGACUCNNUGGCCAAAGACUGACGCUCAUGUGCGAAAGUGUGGGUAGCGAACAGGAUUAGAUACCCUGGUAGUCCACACCGUAAACGCUGUCUACUAGCUGUGUGUGUCUUUAAGGCGUGCGUAGCGAAGCUAACGCGCUAAGUAGACCGCCUGGGGAGUACGGCCGCAAGGUUAAAACUCAAAUGAAUUGACGGGGG